ACCCUCCUGAGGUAGGGGAUUUCAACAGAUGACUGCAUGUGAUAACUCAGAAAUCUAAUCUAUAUUGUGAAAUGUAUUUAAGAUGUUUUUUUUUUUUUUUUUGGUGAGCGCAACUUUCCCACAAGAGAUGUCAAAUCUUCAUAUAGAAAGACCUGCAAAGAUUCUGCAGAAAUUAUUUCAACGGCUGCACAGGAUUAACCUAGGAAUAGUGUGCCUAACGGUUUCUGAGCUCCGAGGUGAUGUCAGCCAAGAACGAUCAUUUAGCGCCAAGCCCAUCUGCUCUCCAGCCGCAGCAUCUGGCCACAAUUAGCCGGAGAAACAGACGAUAGCCAUGUUUACCUCCAGAAACAAGAGGCCUUAACUACUGCUAACACAAAGACACUGAUGAAUGGACUACUGAGUGAGGCAUGUUCUCAUAGGUACACAGAUGAUAAGACCAGGAAAAUUUACUAUUCAUCAAUAAGUCAUUGCAACAAAGCAUGCAGAAAGUAAAAGCCUCCACAGAGGCUCAGGCUGCACUGUAUCAUGCGAAUUUUGUGAAGAGGCUUUGAGUUGUGAUAAAUCCACAUUUCACACUCUCUUGUCUAACUAAUCUGUCAUUUUGAUGUUUUAAAGUCUCUCGACAACCUUUAGCAUCUUUGGGACCACCAUAAUAUAUGUGUGAGUUGUGGGCAUCUACUGGAGGGUGACUCCAUCCAACACUGAAUAUUUUAUUGGCUUACAGUGUGGAUUCCUCACACUUGAAUUAUAUAAAUUGCCAAGAAAUAUUACUUUCCAAACGGUUCCUUUGAGAUAAUGAUAUUGCACAAAUUUGUGAUAAAGCACUUCAGCUCUAUCAGAAACACAUGGAUGGAUGGAUGGAUGGAUGGAUGGAUGGAUGGAUGGAUGGAUGGAUGGAUGGAUGGAUGGAUGGGGAAUAAAGUCUGAAAACACAACUAUUUUUUCAUACUCUGUUCUCUUUUCUCAAACUUGUCCAGACUUGUAUAAUACUCAAAUAACCCAAAUUCUAUAUUUUUCCACACUGCAUGUGGGUACCCUGCUACCUGUGCAUAGAAAAAUAUUUGAAAAUAACAAAUAAAUGAAAAAAUAAUUAAUGUAAAUGUAAAACUUAAAGAUGUCUAAUUCUUCAA
Molecule: long non-coding RNA, 1130 nt
Organism: Girardinichthys multiradiatus
Lineage: Eukaryota; Metazoa; Chordata; Actinopteri; Cyprinodontiformes; Goodeidae
Exons: 2
Source: RefSeq, a predicted model, not a curated record